GACGAACGCUGGCGGCGUGCCUAAUACAUGCAAGUUGAGCGCUGAAGGUUGGUACUUGUACCAACUGGAUGAGCAGCGAACGGGUGAGUAACGCGUGGGGAAUCUGCCUUUGAGCGGGGGACAACAUUUGGAAACGAAUGCUAAUACCGCAUAAAAACUUUAAACACAAGUUUUAAGUUUGAAAGAUGCAAUUGCAUCACUCAAAGAUGAUCCCGCGUUGUAUUAGCUAGUUGGUGAGGUAAAGGCUCACCAAGGCGAUGAUACAUAGCCGACCUGAGAGGGGGGUCGGCCACAUUGGGACUGAGACACGGCCCAAACUCCUACGGGAGGCAGCAGUAGGGAAUCUUCGGCAAUGGACGAAAGUCUGACCGAGCAACGCCGCGUGAGUGAAGAAGGUUUUCGGAUCGUAAAACUCUGUUGGUAGAGAAGAACGUUGGUGAGAGUGGAAAGCUCAUCAAGUGACGGUAACUACCCAGAAAGGGACGGCUAACUACGUG
RNAcentral lists this ribosomal RNA (497 nucleotides) under uncultured bacterium. Its description in RNAcentral is "partial 16S ribosomal RNA". It matches the Rfam family "Bacterial small subunit ribosomal RNA", at positions 28 to 507 of the family's 1533-position model. The record is from RNAcentral.